RNAcentral lists this ribosomal RNA (512 nucleotides) under uncultured Methanosaeta sp. RNAcentral's name for it is "bacterial SSU rRNA". It matches the Rfam family "Archaeal small subunit ribosomal RNA", at positions 347 to 859 of the family's 1478-position model. The record is from RNAcentral. Lineage: Archaea; Methanobacteriati; Methanobacteriota; Methanomicrobia; Methanotrichales; Methanotrichaceae.
ACUUUACAAUGCUGGCAACAGCGAUAAGGGAACCUCGAGUGCCAGGUUACAAAUCUGGCUGUCGAGAUGCCUAAAAAGCAUUUCAUAGCAAGGGCCGGGCAAGACCGGUGCCAGCCGCCGCGGUAACACCGGCGGCUCGAGUGGUAACCGUUAUUAUUGGGUCUAAAGGGUCUGUAGCCGGCCGGAUAAGUCUCUUGAGAAAUCUGGCAGCUUAACUGUCAGGCUUUCAGGAGAUACUGUCUGGCUCGAGGCCGGGAGAGGUGAGAGGUACUUCAGGGGUAGGGGUGAAAUCUUGUAAUCCUUGAAGGACCACCAGUGGCGAAGGCGUCUCACCAGAACGGACCUGACGGCAAGGGACGAAAGCUAGGGGCACGAACCGGAUUAGAUACCCGGGUAGUCCUAGCCGUAAACGAUACUCGCUAGGUGUCGGCCACGGUGCGACCGUUGUCGGUGCCGUAGGGAAGCCGUGAAGCGAGCCACCUGGGAAGUACGGCCGCAAGGCUGAAACUUAA